Molecule: ribosomal RNA, 794 nt
Filed under: methanogenic prokaryote enrichment culture J0704691_A19-2_M13R-48
Also listed under: 3 other names
Description: bacterial SSU rRNA
Rfam family: Archaeal small subunit ribosomal RNA
Source: RNAcentral
UACGGCUCAGUAACACGUGGACAACCUGCCCUUAGGACGGGGAUAAACCCGGGAAACUGGGUAUAAUACCCGAUAGGUCUCGAUUGCUGGAAUGCAUCGAGAUUUAAAGCUCCGGCGCCUAAGGAUGGGUCUGCGGCCUAUCAGGUAGUAGUGGGUGUAGCGUACCUACUAGCCUACGACGGGUACGGGUUGUGAGAGCAAGAGCCCGGAGAUGGAUUCUGAGACACGAAUCCAGGCCCUACGGGGUGCAGCAGGCGCGAAAACUUUACAAUGCUGGCAACAGCGAUAAGGGAACCUCGAGUGCCAGGUUACAAAUCUGGCUGUCGAGAUGCCUAAAAAGCAUUUCAUAGCAAGGGCCGGGCAAGACCGGUGCCAGCCGCCGCGGUAACACCGGCGGCUCGAGUGGUAACCGUUAUUAUUGGGUCUAAAGGGUCUGUAGCCGGCCGGAUAAGUCUCUUGAGAAAUCUGGCAGCUUAACUGUCAGGCUUUCAGGAGAUACUGUCUGGCUCGAGGCCGGGAGAGGUGAGAGGUACUUCAGGGGUAGGGGUGAAAUCUUGUAAUCCUUGAAGGACCACCAGUGGCGAAGGCGUCUCACCAGAACGGACCUGACGGCAAGGGACGAAAGCUAGGGGCACGAACCGGAUUAGAUACCCGGGUAGUCCUAGCCGUAAACGAUACUCGCUAGGUGUCGGCCACGGUGCGACCGUUGUCGGUGCCGUAGGGAAGCCGUGAAGCGAGCCACCUGGGAAGUACGGCCGCAAGGCUGAAACUUAAAGGAAUUGGCGGGGGAGCAC